Molecule: ribosomal RNA, 492 nt
Filed under: uncultured bacterium
Lineage: Bacteria
Description: partial 16S ribosomal RNA
Rfam family: Bacterial small subunit ribosomal RNA
Source: RNAcentral
AGUGAACGCUGGCGGUAGGCCUAACACAUGCAAGUCGAGCGGCAGCACAGUAAGAGCUUGCUCUUACGGGUGGCGAGUGGCGGACGGGUGAGGAAUAUAUCGGAAUCUACUUUUUCGUGGGGGAUAACGUAGGGAAACUUACGCUAAUACCGCAUACGACCUACGGGUGAAAGCAGGGGAUCUUCGGACCUUGCGCGAUUGAAUGAGCCGAUGUCGGAUUAGCUAGUUGGCGGGGUAAAGGCCCACCAAGGCGACGAUCCGUAGCUGGUCUGAGAGGAUGAUCAGCCACACUGGAACUGAGACACGGUCCAGACUCCUACGGGAGGCAGCAGUGGGGAAUAUUGGACAAUGGGCGCAAGCCUGAUCCAGCCAUACCGCGUGGGUGAAGAAGGCCUUCGGGUUGUAAAGCCCUUUUGUUGGGAAAGAAAAGCAGCAGGUUAAUACCCCGCUGUUCUGACGGUACCCAAAGAAUAAGCACCGGCUAACUUCGUG